UCCGGUUUGUCACCGGCAGUCUCCUAUGAGUCCCCAACUGAAUGCUGGCAACAUAGAACGAGGGUUGCGCUCGUUGCGGGACUUAACCCAACAUCUCACGACACGAGCUGACGACAACCAUGCACCACCUGUGAACCGGCCCCAAAGGGGAAACCACAUUUCUGCGGCGGUCCGGUCCAUGUCAAGCCUUGGUAAGGUUCUUCGCGUUGCAUCGAAUUAAUCCGCAUGCUCCACCGCUUGUGCGGGCCCCCGUCAAUUCCUUUGAGUUUCAGUCUUGCGACCGUACUCCCCAGGCGGAGUGCUUAAUGCGUUAGCUGCGGCACCGGGGGGGUCGAUACCCCCGACACCUAGUCCUCAACGUUUAGGGCGUGGACUAC
RNAcentral lists this unclassified non-coding RNA (377 nucleotides) under uncultured bacterium. RNAcentral describes it as "contains 16S-23S intergenic spacer region". The record is from RNAcentral.